RNAcentral lists this ribosomal RNA (264 nucleotides) under uncultured bacterium. Its description in RNAcentral is "partial 16S ribosomal RNA". It matches the Rfam family "Bacterial small subunit ribosomal RNA", at positions 793 to 1055 of the family's 1533-position model. The record is from RNAcentral.
GUCCACGCCGUAAACGAUGUAUGCUCGGUAUUUGGGCCUGUUAAGGGCUUGGGUACCUAAGGUAACCCGGUAAGCAUACCGCCUGGGGAAGUACGAACGCAAGUUUAAAACUCAAAGGAAUUGACGGGGCCCCGCACAAGCAGCGGAGCGUGUGGUUUAAUUCGAUGCAACACGAAGAACCUUACCUGGGUUUGACAUGGACCUGCACGGCCGAGAGAUCGGUCAGCUUACGAAGGUGGUCCACAGAUGCUGCAUGGCUGUCGU